GCCCACGUGGCUCAGGGGUAGAGCACUUCCUUGGUAAGGAAGGGGUCACCGGUUCAAAUCCGGUCGUGGGCUCCA
RNAcentral lists this transfer RNA (75 nucleotides) under bacterium. RNAcentral's name for it is "tRNA-Thr". It matches the Rfam family "tRNA". From Rfam's summary of the family: Transfer RNA (tRNA) molecules are approximately 80 nucleotides in length. Their secondary structure includes four short double-helical elements and three loops (D, anti-codon, and T loops). Further hydrogen bonds mediate the characteristic L-shaped molecular structure. tRNAs have two regions of fundamental functional importance: the anti-codon, which is responsible for specific mRNA codon recognition, and the 3' end, to which the tRNAs corresponding amino acid is attached (by aminoacyl-tRNA synthetases). tRNAs cope with the degeneracy of the genetic code in two manners: having more than one tRNA (with a specific anti-codon) for a particular amino acid; and 'wobble' base-pairing, i.e. permitting non-standard base-pairing at the 3rd anti-codon position. The record is from RNAcentral. RNAcentral also lists the same sequence under 16 other names.